UACGUAGGGGGCGAGCGUUGUCCGGAAUUAUUGGGCGUAAAGAGCUCGUAGGCGGUUCGGUAAGUCGGAUGUGAAAUCUCAGGGCUCAACCCUGAAACUGCAUCCGAUACUGCCGAACUUGAGGCAGGUAGGGGAAGGUGGAAUUCCUGGUGUAGCGGUGAAAUGCGCAGAUAUCAGGAGGAACACCAAUGGCGAAGGCAGCCUUCUGGGCCUGUACUGACGCUGAGGAGCGAAAGCGUGGGGAGCGAACAGGAUUAGAAACCCCCGUAGUCC
Molecule: ribosomal RNA, 273 nt
Filed under: uncultured bacterium
Lineage: Bacteria
Description: partial 16S ribosomal RNA
Rfam family: Bacterial small subunit ribosomal RNA
Source: RNAcentral